Paramuricea clavata is the source of this 943-nucleotide non-coding RNA. Lineage: Eukaryota; Metazoa; Cnidaria; Anthozoa; Malacalcyonacea; Plexauridae. The record is from the annotation of a GenBank genome assembly.
GCGUUUAGAAGUACAGACACAUCAAAAAACCCAGUUUAUGUUUCGAUUGGUCAUAAGAUAAGUCUGGAAACUGCGCUGAAGAUAUGCAAGCUAUGCUGCAAGCACCGAGUACCUGAACCUAUUAGACAGGUAUAACUGAUCUAGUCAAAUAUUCCAAAUGCCCAACAACGGUUCUCAACGUGUUCUGUUAUAUUUUAGGCUGACAUUAGAUCACGUGAGUUUCUACGUCAGCACUACGAAACCAUGGUGACGAAAUGUUGUACCGACGAGGAACAUUGUGGAUCGGAAGGGGUAGCAAAAAGUUGGUGGGAUUGGUGUCUAAUACUUUGAAAAGAAAACAUCUUAACCAUGCAAUGGGCACUUAUGGGCACAUGUGGAUAACAUUAUCUGCACCAUAGAUAUCUUAUAUACACUAGAUAGUGCAUCUAGUUAUUCUUGCAAUUCAAAGAUUGAAGCCGUGAUUGCAGACUCAGGAUAUUCCCAUGAAAUGAGAAGACUCGUAUGUUUUCUAUUUCUUAAACAGGGAACAUGAACAUUAAGUUAAACCUAUUCCAAAUACAUUUUCAAACUGUUCAAAUGAUGAAAGUUAUUGUUGUUUUUUAAGCGUUUAUUAGCGAGUGGGAAACUUCAACAUGGCCGCCAUCUAUUCAAAUGGGGAUAACCGCUGGAAUAUUCUUGGCUUCAAUUUUUACUUAGAGAUGCGCCAUCUAGUGUGUAUAAGAUAUCUAUGAUCUGCACUCAUCAGCACCGAUCAAAAUCUGGGCUUACGGAUUCAAAGAUUUGAUUACGAUUAACAUUUCUAUAGCCCAAAUUUCCAUGUGAAUAUGAUCAAGUGCGCUUUACAUCAAGUAUCACGCUUACCUAAUUACAUACUUAGACUAGACUAUUUUAUCUUCACAACAAUUGUGAUAUUACUUUCUUAACGGUGUUCAUCCUAACCCAC